GAGAUUGGGAGAGGGAUGCGGAAUUCCAGGUGUAGCGGUGAAAUGCGUAGAUAUCUGGAGGAACACCGGUGGCGAAGGCGGCAUCCUGGACCAACACUGACGCUGAGGAGCGAAAGCCAGGGGAGCAAACGGGAUUAGAUACCCCGGUAGUCCUGGCCCUAAACGAUGAAUGCUUGGUGUGGCGGGUAUCGAUCCCUGCCGUGCCGAAGCUAACGCAUUAAGCAUUCCGCCUGGGGAGUACGGUCGCAAGGCUGAAACUUAAAGGAAUUGACGG
Molecule: ribosomal RNA, 274 nt
Filed under: uncultured bacterium
Lineage: Bacteria
Description: partial 16S ribosomal RNA
Rfam family: Bacterial small subunit ribosomal RNA
Source: RNAcentral